UGGGGAAUUUUGGACAAUGGGGGAAACCCUGAUCCAGCCAUCCCGCGUGUGCGAUGAAGGCCUUCGGGUUGUAAAGCACUUUUGGCAGGAAAGAAACGUCAUGGGUUAAUACCCCGUGAAACUGACGGUACCUGCAGAAUAAGCACCGGCUAACUACGUGCCAGCAGCCGCGGUAAUACGUAGGGUGCAAGCGUUAAUCGGAAUUACUGGGCGUAAAGCGUGCGCAGGCGGUUCGAAAAGAAAGAUGUGAAAUCCCAGAGCUCAACUUUGGAACUGCAUUUUUAACUACCGGGCUAGAGUGUGUCAGAGGGAGGUGGAAUUCCGCGUGUAGCAGUGAAAUGCGUAGAUAUGCGGAGGAACACCGAUGGCGAAGGCAGCCUCCUGGGAUAACACUGACGCUCAUGCACGAAAGCGUGGGGAGCAAACAGG
This 429-nucleotide ribosomal RNA is filed under the name Acidobacteriota bacterium. Its description in RNAcentral is "Acidobacteria bacterium partial 16S ribosomal RNA". It matches the Rfam family "Bacterial small subunit ribosomal RNA", at positions 355 to 776 of the family's 1533-position model. Lineage: Bacteria; Pseudomonadati; Acidobacteriota. The record is from RNAcentral.